GAUGAACGCUGGCGGCGUGCCUAAUACAUGCAAGUCGAGCGAACAGACGAGGAUCUUGCUCCUCUGACGUUAGCGGAGGACGGGUGAAAAACACGUGGAUAACCUCCCUAACAGUCUGGGAAAACUACGGGACACCGGAGAAUAUACCGGAGGAGAUCUUGAACCACGGGGGGCAUUGGUGAAAGACGGUUUUUGUGGAAGGUAUCGAUGGAUCCGCGCCGCAUUAGGGAGUUGGUAAGGUAACGGCUUAUGAAGGCAACGCGGCGUAGACGAGCUGUGAGGCGGGUCGCCGACACUGGAACUUAGCCGGGGUCCAGACUCCUACGGGAGGCAGCAGUAGGGAAUCUUCCGCAAUGGGCGAAAGCCUUACGGAGCAACGCCGCGUGAGUUAUGAAGGUCUUCGGAUCGUAAAACCCUGUUAUUAGGUAAGAACAAAUGUGUAAGUAACUAUGCACGUCUUGACGGUACCUAAUCAGAAAGCCACGGCUAACUACGUG
RNAcentral lists this ribosomal RNA (497 nucleotides) under uncultured bacterium. RNAcentral's name for it is "partial 16S ribosomal RNA". It matches the Rfam family "Bacterial small subunit ribosomal RNA", at positions 28 to 507 of the family's 1533-position model. The record is from RNAcentral.